GACGAACGCUGGCGGCGUGCUUAACACAUGCAAGUCGAACGGAAAGGCCCUGCUUGCAGGGUACUCGAGUGGCGAACGGGUGAGUAACACGUGGGUGAUCUGCCCUGCACUUCGGGAUAAGCCUGGGAAACUGGGUCUAAUACCGGAUAGGAGCCAUUUUUAGUGUGUUGGUUGGAAAGUUUUUUCGGUGUAGGAUGAGCUCGCGGCCUAUCAGCUUGUUGGUGGGGUAAUGGCCUACCAAGGCGGCGACGGGUAGCCGGCCUGUGAGGGUGGACGGCGACAUUGAGACUGAGAGGAGGCCCAGACGCCGACGGGAGGAAGCAGGGGGGAAGAUUGCACAAUGGGCGCAAGCCUGAUGCAGCGACGCCGCGUGGGGGAUGACGGCCUUCGGGUUGUAAACUCCUUUCGCUAGGGACGAAGCUUUUUGUGACGGUACCUAGAGAAGAAGCACCGGCUAACUACGUG
RNAcentral lists this ribosomal RNA (465 nucleotides) under uncultured bacterium. Its description in RNAcentral is "partial 16S ribosomal RNA". It matches the Rfam family "Bacterial small subunit ribosomal RNA", at positions 28 to 507 of the family's 1533-position model. The record is from RNAcentral.